ACGAACGCUGGCGGCGUGCCUAAUACAUGCAAGUAGAACGCUGAAGGAGGAGCUUGCUUCUCUGGAUGAGUUGCGAACGGGUGAGUAACGCGUAGGUAACCUGCCUGGUAGUGGGGGAUAACUAUUGGAAACGAUAGCUAAUACCGCAUAAUAGCAGUUGUUGCAUGAUAACUGUUUGAAAGGUGCAAUUGCACCGCUACCAGAUGGACCUGCGUUGUAUUAGCUAGUUGGUGGGGUAACGGCUCACCAAGGCGACGAUACAUAGCCGACCUGAGAGGGUGAUCGGCCACACUGGGACUGAGACACGGCCCAGACUCCUACGGGAGGCAGCAGUAGGGAAUCUUCGGCAAUGGACGGAAGUCUGACCGAGCAACGCCGCGUGAGUGAAGAAGGUUUUCGGAUCGUAAAGCUCUGUUGUAAGAGAAGAACGAGUGUGAGAGUGGAAAGUUCACACUGUGACGGUAUCUUACCAGAAAGGGACGGCUAACUACGUG
This 494-nucleotide ribosomal RNA is filed under the name uncultured bacterium. Its description in RNAcentral is "partial 16S ribosomal RNA". It matches the Rfam family "Bacterial small subunit ribosomal RNA", at positions 29 to 507 of the family's 1533-position model. The record is from RNAcentral.